CAGCCGCGGUAAUACGGAGGGUGCGAGCGUUAAUCGGAAUUACUGGGCGUAAAGACGCAUGCAGGCGGCCGCGUUUAAGUCAGAUGUGAAAGACCCGGGGCGUUAACCUCGGAAGUUAGCAUUUGUAAACUAGGCAGGCUAGAGUCUUGUAGAGGGGGUAGGGAAGUUUACUAGGUGUAGCGGUGAAAUAGCGUAGAGAUCUGAAGGAAUACCAGUGGCGAAGGCGGCCCCCUGGACAAAGACUGACGCUCAGAUGCGAAAGCGUGGGGAGCAAACAGGAUUAGAUACCCUGGUAG
This 296-nucleotide ribosomal RNA is filed under the name uncultured bacterium. RNAcentral describes it as "partial 16S ribosomal RNA". It matches the Rfam family "Bacterial small subunit ribosomal RNA", at positions 512 to 793 of the family's 1533-position model. The record is from RNAcentral.